RNAcentral lists this ribosomal RNA (253 nucleotides) under uncultured bacterium. RNAcentral's name for it is "partial 16S ribosomal RNA". It matches the Rfam family "Bacterial small subunit ribosomal RNA", at positions 524 to 776 of the family's 1533-position model. The record is from RNAcentral.
GACAGAGGGUGCAAACGUUGUUCGGAUUUACUGGGCGUAAAGCGUGUGUAGGCGGCUUGGCAAGUUGGAUGUGAAAGCCCACGGCUCAACCGUGGAAGCGCAUCCAAAACUGCUUCGCUCGAGUCUCGGAGAGGAAGGUGGAAUGCUUGGUGUAGAGGUGAAAUUCGUAGAUAUCAAGCAGAACACCAAUGGCGAAGGCAGCACUCUGGGACGUGACUGACGCUGAGACGCGAAAGCGUGGGGAGCAAACAGG